This 253-nucleotide ribosomal RNA is filed under the name uncultured bacterium. RNAcentral's name for it is "partial 16S ribosomal RNA". It matches the Rfam family "Bacterial small subunit ribosomal RNA", at positions 524 to 776 of the family's 1533-position model. The record is from RNAcentral.
GACGAACCGUGCGAACGUUGUUCGGAUUCACUGGGCUUAAAGGGCGCGUAGGCGGACUCGCCAGUCUGUGGUGAAAGCCCCCAGCUUAACUGGGGAAGUGCCGUGGAUACUGCGAGUCUGGAGGAGGGUAGGGGCAUCUGGAACGCUGGGUGGAGCGGUGAAAUGCGUUGAUAUCCAGCGGAACUCCGGUGGCGAAGGCGAGGUGCUGGACCCUUUCUGACGCUGAGGCGCGAAAGCCAGGGGAGCAAACGGG